Molecule: transfer RNA, 23 nt
Filed under: Nyctimantis siemersi (red-spotted Argentina frog)
Lineage: Eukaryota; Metazoa; Chordata; Amphibia; Anura; Hylidae
Description: partial tRNA-Gln
Source: RNAcentral
UUAAUUAUAGGUUCAAUUCCUAU